GGGGCUGUAGCUCAAUUGGUAGAGCGCUUGUUUUGCAAGCAAGAAGCUAGCGGUUCGAGUCCGCUUAGCUCCA
Non-coding RNA from Candidatus Hodgkinia cicadicola Dsem, 73 nucleotides. The record is from Rfam. NCBI's taxonomy places the organism in Bacteria, Pseudomonadati, Pseudomonadota, Alphaproteobacteria, Hyphomicrobiales.